CCGGAGGCAUUAUGUUUUCAUCUCUACGCACAUCCGUUCAUGUCAUUCUUCUGAACACAAUGGGUUGGACAGUGCCACAGUGAGUUUUAUGGCUCAUGUGUGUUGUGACAGUGUGAAAGGCACAGGAAGGAAAGGCUGCGUUUCCUCUGAUGCUCCUGCCCCUGUGGACCAGAGGAGAUAAGAACACACACACACACACAAACACACACACAGCAUUGAACAACAAUCACAACACAGAUCCACGCUGCCUGCACUAACACCCCCUCCCUCUCCAUCUCCCCCGCAGAUCAACUUCCACAAGGCUUGGCCUUAAUCAACCCCCACCCACCUCACACAUCACACAGUUUUGGUUUGUUCUCAUCUCAACAUUUUUUUUUUUUUUUUACUUCCCGGUCCAACAAAAGUGUUGAAAUUAAAAGCCAUGAGUCUAGCACUGAUAGCUUUCAAAUAGUUAAACAAUCACUGCUCAAGUUCUCACUGAACUAUUCGGGUUAGUGAAACAAAACACAAAACAGUCAUCGUGCCUGCUCUGCAUAACAGACCGUUUGUUAUAAGAGAAGCAGGUGUUCAGAUCGUCUUUACCCUUUCAUUGGUUGAUUAAUGUGUGCAAGAAAGCCACUUCAUUCAGUAAUAAUUAAAGGACUUCCAUGAAAGUGUGAAGUGUGUUGUGCUUUCCAGGGUGAGACAGCCACUCAGAAUGUGUGUCUAUGUUAUUUUCUGCGUCUGUAUAUGUGUGUCUGUGUGUGUGUGUGUGUGUGUGUGCGCGCACGCUGACGUAAGCCCCUCUAUCUGAUGAUGCCCUUCUAAUCCCCACAGUGAUGUGUCAUGAAUAUGGAGUUUAAGACUCAAAUCCCCAGGGAUACACAGGCUAUAGAUAGCUUGCUCCUUCCAUACACACACACACACACACACACACACACACACGAGGUAUAUACACCUUCAGCAGCUGUCCCAGUCCGGCACACACAGUGCACACACCGCUGCUGACCCCCGUGACGUUAAAGGGCCAGAACAGGGAGAAGCCAGAAAGAGGUGAUUAAGAGGAAAGUAAGAGUCAGAAGGAUCUCACUGGAAUGAAAAUAACUGAGAAAUGCAGAAAGUAAAGGAUGUGCUUAUAGAGCUUAUGAAGGGCUGUUAAACAUCUACCAACUUUGCGUAUUUUUGUCAUUUUCGCCACAUUUAAGACCAGGAAAUGUCACAAUAUCACUAAAAAAAGUCACAAGCAGAUGAAACAUUAACAGACAAAAGAUUAUAGAAAGUAGUGUAAACAAAUUCCAAAGGUUAUAGGGAAGCGAGAGCGAAACAGAACAGCAGAAAAACUGCACAAACUAACAAAAGUUGCUGUAAACAGGACUCCCUGGUCUGUCUGUGCUUUAAGUAAUAUCACAAAAUGAAUAAAUUACACUUGUUCAGAUGUGCUCACUUUUAAUAUACAGUCAAAUAAGGCGGUUGAGAUAGUCUGACUUGAUGGGUUGAAUGACUUUUUUACAUCUUUAUGAUUAUCUGAUUGUGUUUCGGAGAUAACGCUGCGCAUUUAAGUCUUAGUACUUACCACACAGUCAAAAGUGUCCCAUAUGUUUGACACCUAAAUAAAUAAACUAAGUAAAUGCCCAUCACAUGAAACAAUAUCUCCAGGUAGGGAUCAGUUGCAUGGUCAUCCUGAUUACUAAUCUUUCUUUCUUCCUUUCAGUCAGCUAUUCAAUAAAAGCCCAAUAAAGUAGUCCCAAAAGUACUGUCACAACCAAUAGAACUGACUUGAAAUUUAAAGGAGUUGAAGGAUUUACUAGAUGUUUUUUGGGCUGUUGAUCAUAUCCAGAGAUUUUCAUCCGUAGACGCUAUUUUCACAGAACAUAUGUCACUCUAAAAGCUGAAGUUCAAAGUUUACUCUUUACUAUGGAAACAGUACAUUUUAAUAAAGCACAACGAUUCCUUAAUAUUGAAUUAAACACUAUGCAGGGCACUGCAUAAUGCCAUCGUCCGACCACAUUUAAGUCGCAAUGAAACCAUCAAAGUCGCAAAUAGAUGAAAUUACCGGCUACUGUGAAUUUGUUUGCGUGCGCUUAUGUCUAAAUGUGCGGUAUGAAUUCACUCUAGGCUGAGGAGUACAGGAAACUCUUUAUGUUUUAUUGAGAGCAGUAAUCUGAAGGUGUGGUUCCUCAGAUUAUUAAAGAAAUAGUGAGUGUGACCUCAAACACACACAGAUUAAGUGAUAAAAAAAAACGUAAUGUAAGUAUAAUCACACUCUCUGCUCAGCUCUGACAGGCACAUACACAACUGCACACACACACACACACACACACACACAGACACACACAUAUCCCACCACGCCCCAAAAGCUUGCCAACCCAUAUGGCUUGGGGAUAAUAAACCGAACAGCCAGCAACACGUCUCCUGUGCUCCGGAGCCAAAGAAGCCAAAGGAAUGCACAUCCCUCCAGUUCACUCCCUCUCUUUAUCUGCCUCUCUUUCUUCUUCCUCUGUGUGUUUGUCAUUCUCUGUCUUUUUCUGUUCAUCUCAGAGCACUGAGUGAAGGACCCUCUGUUACAGUGAAGAAGUAUGCCUCGUACGAGUGUGUGUUGGCAUCCGAGUGUGUGUUUGUGUGUUCGAGUUGUGCCAAAGAAACCAGUCUGACGAGUCUGUGAAGAGCUUGCCCUUGGGAUGGAGGGAAAAGGGGAAGGGAAGUGGGAUGGAAAAAGGGAGGGAGUGUGAGGAUGAAAUGAAAGGGAAAAUAAACAGUUAUGUGAAGGAGAGAGGAAAAGGGGGGGAGAUGACUUCGAAAAGAGCGAGAGUUUGGCUCAGAAGAACUUGCUUAGUAGAGUACGUAGCAUCUGCCCUCUAAUCUCUGUUUCUUAAAUGCCAAAUGUGAAUGUGACCAAACACACCUCUUACCCCCCACCUUCUUUGCGUCUUUCUUUCUCAUUCCCCUUUGCUCUUCUCUUCCCAGGCCUCCCACCUCUAUGUGUCUCUGCGGUGCAGUGGAACAGCCAGCGAGGCCUGCGGCAGGAGUGCUAAGCCUGGGCCUGGAUUUGGAGCAUGGCUGCUCUCGGUUGAGCGGGAUCCAGGCCCCCUGAGGGCUAAGGGGUGGGAGCGGAGGGUGGAGGGUGGAGGCUGGGGGUAGGGGAGGGUAGGGUAGGGGUGCAGUGGAGGAGAGGGAGGAGAACAGCGGCAGCAGAGGCAGCAAGCAGUACAGUUCUGGAUCACCUUCAAAGAGCUCCAGUCCCAACGGAUAGACUGGAUUCCUCUGUGGAGAGAGGAGUAGAAAAGGGGGAGGGUAUGCGGGGAGAGAAAGGAAAGAGACAUGGGAGACAUGAGACAAGGGGAAAGUGUGAAAAGAGAAAGGAAAGAAGUGUUUUGUGUUAUAACUUCUCCCACUCGUUCACUCUCUCUCUCCCUCCCUCUCUCUCUCCACCCGACGUGCAAGCACUUGCCCUUCAUACAGCAGGCUAUACUGAGAUGAUCUAUCUGUGUGCCAGAGCAGGGAGACAUGGGAAAUCUGGCCCGCACAAAGAAGUCGUUGUGCCUCCCUGGAGCUUCCUUUAGGGGCUGAUGUGUGAGUGUAUGUUUGGAUGUUUGUGUGUGUGUGUGUGACAUGGAUGAGUAAGGGUUUACCUUCUCAGGUCCCCCACCUACCAAAAGGUUCUCCUGACACAGGUAUAAGUACACACACACACACACUCAGUGGCAAAUGCACCUUCAAAAAUCCAAGGACAUUGCAGAUUGUCAUCCACAGGAGUCUCAUUCUUGUGCGUGUGGUGGGUGACUUUCAAGCUCUGCACCUAAAUAAGCCUCUUACACAAUGCAAAAAAAAAGGCUAUGACAAUUUAGUACAGCUCAGAUUUGUUCCACCGGAGUUGUGCGUGUUCCCUUUCUGUAAAUGCGUGAGGAAGUGGUACGUUUUACUUUGCAUUUGUGCAUGCGUGUGUGCAUGCGCAUCAGUGACAGACCUUCAUCCUGAGUCUGGGUCAGCAGUUUGUUUAGCAUCAAUUAGAGGCUCUGUGUUCCUCAACGCAAGCGUGAAGGGAGAAUUAACGUGCAGUGGCACAUUCCCACCAGCAUAUUAUUUCACACAACACCUCAGCUGGAACAGUCCUAGUGCAUUGUGCAUGUAUGUAUCAGUGCAAGUGUGAGCGCAUAUAGGUGUGCAUGCGCAUAUAUGCAGAUUUGUGAAUUCGCAAAGUGCUUCACUGUUCUAUUUUUUCCAUUUCUUCUUCUUCUUCUUCAUGCUUUCCUCCCGACUUGCUCUUCAAGGACUACGGUUUGACCACAGCCAUUUCCCUUAGCCUCGGCUUUGCCUAGCAACACACAGCACAUAGUUUCCAUAGAACAUGCAUUUAAUGGGGGAGAAGAUAUAUAGAUACUGGUGAAAGUCUCUGGUAAAGACAACUGUGUCUAAAGAUUUCCUGCUCUGCUCACAAAGUUUAAAAAACACAUGUUCAGUGGCUUUGGUACAGACUUGUCUCUUAAAGGCGUGUAGUGGAAGAAUGAAGGGCAGCGUACUGAAAACAUAACUGAAAUCAUUUCUACAACAUUAAAUACAGGGUAUGACCAUAAUAAGUGAAACACCAUGGUAAUUGCUUUGGUCUGUCGUGGCGGGUUGUGCUUUUAUUGUGUUGGUUUUGGUUUAGCUUUUACACAAAGAGAAACUCUUAUUAACAGAAUGAUUCAAUGUGAUCAUCAUUGAAACCUACCAUCUUUCAUACACUAGCAAAACAGUUCAACUAGGACACGAUGUUACAGUAAGGAACUCCACUGGGUUAACAUUUCUUUAAAAAAAAAAAAAACAGAAGCCAAUAUUUUAAAGUCAAAUUAGUGCUCCGAUUUUUCAAGUCAGUCACAAGACUCAACAACAGCAACAAAAACAAGUUGAAAACAUUACUUGAAUAAUAAUUUAUUUAUGAGAACAUUACAGCAUUCUGUCUUACCUUUGCCUUCAUUACUGUAUGUUCAAAACAAUCAAAGUUGGCAAGCGACUGUAGCAUGUUCCAACCUGUUAGCUAGUUUUCACCCAAUGUGCACACACACAGGUGACAAAAUUAGAGGAAAAUUAUUAGUGUGCCAUAAUUAAUCUGCUCUUGUAAUUCUAGUAUUUAACCUAACACCCGAUGCUUACAUUAAAUGAUUAAGUAGUGAUAUUCAUAUUAUAGGUCCAAAGCUGAAAAUAAAUCUGAACUCAGCUCCAUUACCUUCAGGUCCUGUUGGCUUUAGGCCAGGGUGCACAUUUUAAAUACCUACAUGUACUGUGUGCUCAGAUAGGAUGUUGCCAUAUUAUAUUAUUAUGUUUUUAAAUAACGCACCUGAACACACACUAAAAAUCAUCAUCAUUUUGAAGCAUCAACACAUCCAGACAUGUUAAUAGAGCCAUUGUUUUUCUUUGACAACAGCUUCCAAGAAAGAUAUGCAUCAUUCAUGAUCAUUUAACAUUAUUAUGUUAGAAGUGAUUAAAACAAGCCUAACCCUCUUAGGGAUUAUUGGAUUGAAUUCAGUCCAGGAAAUGUACCACACACAGGCACAGCUUUGCCAAAAUCCCUCAGUUUGGCAGUAUUUACAUUGCUUUUUUCCUUACUUUGAUUACACUCUCUGCAUAAAUAUCGACUACAGUUUCAUUUCUUUUGUGUCCUUUUUGUGUUCUUUGAUGGGGGGAUGGGAUGUCAGUGGGUCUUUGCCAGGAGAGAGGUUUCCUUGCUUUGCCAAGGUAUGCCCUCCUCCCUGUCUCGCAUGUGGAGCGUUGCUCUAUACUUGCUUGUAAAUAGUGAGAUAAGUGUGGUUUACCCGUAGCUGGGGUGUAAGGUGCACUCAGCACCGCCCUGACAUGUCUGUGCCAAAGCCCAACAGGGGUGUAAUUACCUGAGACUGGGUCAGCACUUUAUCCGGGGUAAAAAUACCUGCCUACUUAUAGAAGGGGAACAGAGAGGGCAGCUCCAUGCAAAGGGAAGCCUGUCUUCACACAUUCAGCAAACGGCUCCUCUACUGCACUACUGCUUUCUCCAAUACCCCUUUUGAAGAGUCGUAUAGUGUUACUUAAUAAUCUGUCACGGGGACUCUCAGACGAGACCUUUCCAUCUUCCUCUUUACGCGGCUGCGACGGACUGACCUACAAAACACUUCUACGCGCGUCCAAUAUUCCACUCUCUACUUUUACCCGCAGCCGACUUUCUGUCCAGUACCUUUCCACACUCUCUGUAUUCCCCUACUCCGCCCCUUUCACACCACAUCUGUCUCUCUGCCCUCUGAGUCAAGGACGGAGAGGGCCAAGCAGACAUGCAGAGGACAGCUCUGCACCAAUCAGGAGACAACAAGAGCUUGUGUCAAUUAAAUGGUAUGUGCUUAUGCCGCAAAUCACAGACACAUGUUCUGUUUUCCCCUCCCACCCUGUGGCUGUAGCCUCUCUUCUCCACCACCUAAUGCAGCGUAAUCAUCCUCAUUACCUAAUGAGACCCUACUGUACACACAAACUCUCCUUCGCUGCUUCUACAUUUCACUCUUUCACAAAUACACGUGUGUAAAGUGCUGCCAUAUGCCCACACAAAAUUGUAUAGCCUACACUGUAAUAGACAUCCAUCUGAAUCUGUACAUACACUCAACUAUCAACACUGUGCCUCUCACUGCCACAACACUCUAAAGCCUCUAAUGCCACAGUAAUACUAUUGUAGUGUGUAUUAUCAACAGGACAGUGAACACUGAAUUAGGCUGGCAGCUGGGGAGGGGAGAAACCCCUCAUUAGCUCCCUUCAAUGUAUCUACUUCCCCUAAUCUCUUACAAUAACAUAAUCUCUUUAAAAGUGCUGCAGCUUAAAUCCAAUCUGCCUAAAACCUGACACGUGAUUGAGGUCAAUCCUCAGUAAACCCCAAACUGUGGGGUCCACUCACAACAACCCCCAAUCGUGUAAGCUACAGUAUGUAAUGUAUUGCAUUUAUGGUUUGCUUAAGUCAGUAUUCAUGAGUGUUGCAGUACCAUAAAGCACACACUUGAAGAUACGUACGCCUUUUCCUGAGUCAGACAUUUAUCUUCUUUCACCAACAGCCUUCAGUCAGCCUGGCCUGCCGCCUGACUGUUCCUCUGAUCCCAGUGCAGUUUGUAUCCUCUCACAGCCUUUAUUCUAUCUGACCCUGGUAGCACAGAGCAGCUCUGCUCUUUUUUAUUUUUUGAUGGUUUUCCAUAGUGUCUCUUGCCUCCAAACCACUUACAGAUGUUGGCAGCGGGGAGCGUUGUGGCAACUCCAAACGAGGAAAUCUAAAUAGAGAUCAGGCUGUAAAAUAAAAAAGAAGGAAUGGAGAAAGGGAAAACAAGAGGAAAGCAAGAGAGCAAAUGUGUGAAUGGGUAAGCAACGAGCAAGCAUUAGUGUAGAAUUAUUGGAAAGAGUAUAACAUACUUACCUGGAAUUCAAGAGCAGUGAUUAGGGGCAGCUUAUCUUGCUUUUGCUGUAUGUAAAUACAAUUUACAGCUGUUUUCUUAAUGUUUUUCUUAUGAUCACAUUUUAGUCGAAAAAACUGAAAUAUCAGCAGAAAUCAAUUAAAAACAUUUUUUUAUCACUUAAAAGAAGUGAUCAAUGUCAGUCAACAACAAAUAAAAAAUUAACCUGAGCAACAUUUAACAAGGACCAUAAAUUUCCUGCUAAAUUCAGCUGUGUUUCUAUACCUGAUAAUGGAUCCUCUUAAAAUUCUAUAUGGUUCAAAACCACAGCUUCGUACUCCCUUUUCCACUUACUGCUCCCCCGGCAGGUUUUUCCAUUAAAUACAACAUACUGUGGCAGGCUUUAGGACAUAAGAACCAACCCCUCAAAUUGGAAUUUACCGAGGCCUACUGGAAAACAAUUUUUCUGGGCAGAAGGUAGACUUGGCCUGGCUCUGCGAUGGCAGCUCUGUUACCUCCCUCCACCUGUUUUACAGGAAGUAGCCUUGUCCCGGUGGAUCAGAGAGGAAAUGUGUUGAAAUGCCACAUCCUGCUCCGAGCUUAGAGUCAGAGUUCACUGCAGCUAAUGCUUAUUAUGUCCAGACACCUCCUAGGGAGAAACCAGUGCAGACAAAGAGAAGAGAAGUGGAGGUAUGUUUGCAGCCAUGCCACUCCCUGUGCUGUGAUUGUAAAGAUGAGUGACCUGUCUCUCCCAUCUCUCCUCUCCCCCCUCCUCUUCCUCUCUCCCCUGCACUUUAUUUAUUAAUGGAUCCAUUCAAUUAUUUACCUCACAUCUUAGGGCGACAACAGGCCAGAGAACAGUACACAGGGUGGAGAUGAUACAGUACACAUCCGCACAGCACGCAGACGCUACUUGUGCAGCGGCCAGACAUGGAUCAAUCCCACCCGGAAUUGGGUUUCACAUCCCGGAAGCAGAGAUGUACACAUGGGUCACUUUCAUUGACUCAGUGCGGCCAUGUCCAUAGGUAUCCAUCAUACAGGCCAUUGACUCGUUGUGACCAUGAAGGUACAGAUUCAUCAUAAGGAAAGGCUGUGGUGGACGAGGUCAGCGAAAAAGUAGCGGCUGCUUCUCAUCUGCCAUGCGGUUGAAAUUAAGCCUUUUGAGAUAUUAUCACUAAUGUCGAUGUAAUUACAGUAUAAUGUACUAUACAUGGGUGUUUAUGUAAAAUUAGGUUUUCUGCCAAUUAUGUGGUGUGGAAAACUAAAAAAAGUAAACCACAAAAUUACAUUUAAGAUUAGAUCGUUUGCAUUUUGAGCGCAUGUGUUUUCACCUGCAUAAAACAGUCAAACACAGUCUGAUUAUUUGUGUUGAAGUGUAUGUUUGUGCACGUGUGUGUUGGGCGUUACAUGCCGGAGAUAAAUAACAGACGCAGUGAUGCUGUGUUGAUCUGAACUCCAGACAGCGUCGGGGCUCAGCUGAGGACUGAGACGGAGAAGACGAAGGGAGGGACAGAGCGAGAUGAGCGAGAGACGAGAAGAAGAUGGUGAAGAUUGAUUGCCAUUGACUCUGGUCCAGAGCGCUGAGAACUGGAUGCCGUCCACCCACCCAACAGCUUCUCGCCUCACAAGACUAAAAGCAAGAAUAGGGGGAAAAAAAACGGUUUCUGUUAACAUCCAGCUGCAGUAGAGUCCCACUUGGUGGAAUAUAUGAGAGCAAUUAUAACCCCAUCAUGAAAAGACUGUGGACCUAAAAACAAUGGCUAAAUUGCAACAUUGUUGAAUAUCCACAAUGGAAACUCAUAGAGAGCUCUGCACUAUAGAGAUUAAAAAAAAGAAAAGUGCCUGGGUGUAUGUAUGUGUAUAUAUAUAUAUAUAUAUAUAUAUAUAUAUAUAUAUAUACACACUGCCUUUGCGUGUAAGUGUGUCGUGUGUGUUCAUACAUUUGAUUUCAGAUAAGGCAUGCUUGCCAUCCUCAGCGCUUGAACACGUCUGCUGUUUACAGUGUAUAUGCAUGAGUAUAUGUGUCUGUAGCAGUAUGUAUGCAUGUGUUAGAAGGGGGUGUAUAUGUACAGGAAGAGAGCCUGUAAAUAAAUCUGUUUGGGGAUUGGGGGUGUGGGGAUGAAAUAUGGUCCCAGGGAUGUGGAGCAAUGUGAAAAACUCGGCAACGCCAGGGAAUAACAAAUCUCCUGAUGUCGCCUCUCUGCAAAAUAAAUACACUCCCUCGUACAAGUCAUCCAUCUGGACUAUGAGUCGCAACAAAGACGCCCCCAAUAUAUCCCCAACCCACCCCAACACACACAUACACCCACUUACACAGGAACCAUCACACAGUAGCCAUAUUUAUUUACACAUUUAUUUAUUUGUUUGUUUGUUGAAUUAAAUGAAAACUGCCAGUAGGGGAUUAGAAAAGUGUGUGGGGUUUUUUUGUGAAUGAAACACAAUUUUUCUCAAUCCCCCCCUCCCUUGUCCCCCCCGCCCCUUCCCCAUUUUGAACAGUCUCUGUCUUAAUGGGCGGUUUGGAGGGGUUGCAAUGAAGUAGAUGUGGGGGUGGCGGGUGCAGGGUUUGUAGAUCGGGCGUUUUAACUAAUGAUCGAUCACGGGGGAUUAAAUAAUUAAAUUUCAGCCUUGACAAUUUAAAAGUCUCGCCACACAUAGUCGACUGAAUGAGGAAAGAGAAAGAUGAAAGAUUCUGCCUGCAGCAAUGUAUCAGAAAGAUUCAACAUCUAAUACAUUACAGGAAGAAAGCGUGGGUGUGUGUUUGUGUGUGUGUUGGCAAAAGGGUGUACUGUUUUUAGCUUAUGUACGUGCAGAUACUCUCCACUGACAUAUAGGUUUGAGUAAAUACAUUCAGCUAACUGCGUAGGCCCACCAGAUUCUUCUUCACUUUUCUUAUCUGGGCCUCUUCUCCCAGACACUACAACCUCUGCAGCACUAAAAGCUCACAUGUGGGGCAAUAUGUAUCUGUAUUAAAAUAAAUAAAUAACCACACAACAGCAUAAAGGCGCUCACUUUUACAAUAAAGGGAUGAGAUGUUUGCUAUUUUGUUAUUUUCUUUACAAUUCAGUUUUCUUUUUCCAAUUAAGGUCUAUUCUCUUGGCUUAAUUAGGUCAUGGCGAGUUGUGAGUCAUGGUGUGUGUGUGUGUGUGUGUGUGUGUGUAUUUGUGUGAGAUAGAGUGUGUGUGUGUGUGUGGGUCAUUCUGUCCCUCCCAGGGAUAAAUAUUAGUCCUCGUUGUUUGCAAAUAGGUGAUGUAUGGUGGCCAUAUCUCUCGGUGAUGAAUGUUUUUUAGAAAUUUCCUCUCCUUUAUCAAUUGACUAACAAACCCAUGUAUCACUGCCACUCUCUCCCACUCCCCACAUAAAUUAAAUAACCAGCUCUCUCUCUCUCUUUUUCCUCUUGCUCUCUCUCUAUUCCACUUCUCACUUGUUUCUCCCUCUGUGCCUCCAUGUGCUCCUUUUCAUUACUCCUUUAAGCUUUAUUCAUUUUAUUACAUUUUGUGCGUUUUCUGCACAUGACGCACAUCAAACCUACAGCAGUCAGCGCCAAUGUUGUGGUGGUAAUAGUCACACAUU
Molecule: long non-coding RNA, 10919 nt
Organism: Sphaeramia orbicularis (orbiculate cardinalfish)
Lineage: Eukaryota; Metazoa; Chordata; Actinopteri; Kurtiformes; Apogonidae
Exons: 5
Source: RefSeq, a predicted model, not a curated record